This is a long non-coding RNA of Lathyrus oleraceus (garden pea), 542 nucleotides long. RefSeq lists it as uncharacterized. The transcript has 2 exons. Lineage: Eukaryota; Viridiplantae; Streptophyta; Magnoliopsida; Fabales; Fabaceae. The record is from RefSeq and is a predicted model, not a curated record.
GUUGACUCAAAUAUUCAUUUGCAAGCUCUAUCUCUAUAAUCUCAAGGAGGAAAUUUAUACCUGAGAUGGCAUAGGUGUGUCAAGUCUUGUUGUUUCCAUCGGGAGUAUCUUUGUAUCUACAUGUGCAGUUUGCACAAAUUUCCUGUUGGAGUUGCAAAGAUUUGUGAGCAUUGUUUUGGUUUCACUCAAGCCUGCCAUGAAUUUAUAUAGGUAGCACACAAUUCAGAGGAGGACCAAAAGUGAUGUCAUGUAAAUCAAUCCUUAUGAGUUAUGUACUGCAAUGUGAUUUUUCAGUAGUAUACAAUGCUCUAGGCAUUCAUGUUAACCAAAAGUGAUUUUCAGUAGCAUACAUUGCUCUAGUAGCAUACUGCACUGUGAUUUUCAGUGGCAUACUGCACUGUGAUCUCAUGUAAAUCAAGCGUGAUUAUAUAACUCAUGUUUUGCAAUCCAAUUUCAAACUACUGCUAAGUCUUGUUAACGAUGUAUCAAUACAUGUAUUUGUGUGUUAAUGAUGUAUCAAUAUAUGUGUUGUGUUGCUAUAA